CACCAAAAAGUCCAAAUCAACUCCAGGCAAGCGAGAAGUGAAAAAUCUAUCCAAAGGAACCGACAACAGUUGUUAUCGUUCCGAGCGACAGAGAAAAUCUGACAAGCAAGGGGGAUUGGUUCAUACACCCACCACCCAGCGGCGGGUAAGGUAGACCACCUGACCUACCUGUCGCGUGUGCCGCGAGAUUUGAAAUUCUGUCGGGAACGUCGGAAACUAUAGCUAAGUAUAUAUCUGACAGGAAAGUUCAUGUACAAAAACUAAUUUUAACAAUUACUUAUCACUACGUACUGAGUAGCUUGGAGACAGAUCUUUCUCUCUUCAGCAGAAAAUUGAGGCUUUUAUAAAACAAUGGUCUGUUCUUACAAAUGAGUACAAAAGACACUGAUUUACAAAUUAACAGACUCAACUUUUCAAAUGAUUUUUUCAACAUCCCCAAAUUUGAUGUUCAGACCAUGCAGGUUAAGAGAAAUUCCAACAUCCAGCCCAAACAUAAGACACUUCUCUGUACCUAAAAUUAUUCCCCACCCACAAAUAAAAACACAAAAUUGUUGCCUAUGUAGUGCACAUAAUUAUACACACUUUGCAAACAUUAAAUAAUAAAUUAUGACUACUCUACAAUUGUAAAUUAAAUUCAACAAAAAUACUGGAUCACAUUUUUUAACUGUCACGGAUUGCCAAAAUGAUUUUUCUUGCAUGAGAUGGGAAAAUUUGAGAAGGUUAGAAGCUAGGUAGGACAAGACCAAAGGCAAAUCUUUAGUAUUAUCUACAGUGAGCAACACACAGCACAUUAAGUGGUAGAAAACAUGGAGACUUUA
Macrobrachium nipponense is the source of this 818-nucleotide long non-coding RNA. RefSeq lists it as uncharacterized. The transcript is spliced from 3 exons. The record is from RefSeq and is a predicted model, not a curated record. Lineage: Eukaryota; Metazoa; Arthropoda; Malacostraca; Decapoda; Palaemonidae.